UAACAAAGGUUGAGAUGAAGAUGCAUAUGU
This 30-nucleotide non-coding RNA is filed under the name Mus musculus (house mouse). Lineage: Eukaryota; Metazoa; Chordata; Mammalia; Rodentia; Muridae. The record is from RNAcentral.